This 468-nucleotide ribosomal RNA is filed under the name uncultured bacterium. Its description in RNAcentral is "partial 16S ribosomal RNA". It matches the Rfam family "Bacterial small subunit ribosomal RNA", at positions 28 to 507 of the family's 1533-position model. The record is from RNAcentral.
GACGAACGCUGGCGGCGUGCUUAACACAUGCAAGUCGAACGGAAAGGCCCUGCUUUUGUGGGGUGCUCGAGUGGCGAACGGGUGAGUAACACGUGAGUAACCUGCCCUUGACUUUGGGAUAACUUCAGGAAACUGGGGCUAAUACCGGAUAGGAGCUCCUGCUGCAUGGUGGGGGUUGGAAAGUUUCGGCGGUUGGGGAUGGACUCGCGGCUUAUCGACUUGUUGGUGGGGUAGUGGCUUACCAAGGCUUUGACGGGUAGCCGGCCUGAGAGGGUGACCGGCCACAUUGGGACUGAGAUACGGCCCAGACGCCUACGGGAGGCAGCAGUGGGGAAUAUUGCACAAUGGGCGGAAGCCUGAUGCAGCAACGCCGCGUGCGGGAUGACGGCCUUCGGGUCGUAAACCGCUUUCGCCUGUGACGAAGCGUGAGUGACGGUAAUGGGUAAAGAAGCACCGGCUAACUACGUG